This 744-nucleotide ribosomal RNA is filed under the name gamma proteobacterium FMR4. RNAcentral's name for it is "bacterial SSU rRNA". It matches the Rfam family "Bacterial small subunit ribosomal RNA", at positions 56 to 797 of the family's 1533-position model. The record is from RNAcentral. Lineage: Bacteria; Pseudomonadati; Pseudomonadota; Gammaproteobacteria.
UGCAGUCGAGCGGUAGAGAGAAGCUUGCUUCUCUUGAGAGCGGCGGACGGGUGAGUAAUGCCUAGGAAUCUGCCUGGUAGUGGGGGAUAACGUUCGGAAACGGACGCUAAUACCGCAUACGUCCUACGGGAGAAAGCAGGGGACCUUCGGGCCUUGCGCUAUCAGAUGAGCCUAGGUCGGAUUAGCUAGUUGGUGAGGUAAUGGCUCACCAAGGCGACGAUCCGUAACUGGUCUGAGAGGAUGAUCAGUCACACUGGAACUGAGACACGGUCCAGACUCCUACGGGAGGCAGCAGUGGGGAAUAUUGGACAAUGGGCGAAAGCCUGAUCCAGCCAUGCCGCGUGUGUGAAGAAGGUCUUCGGAUUGUAAAGCACUUUAAGUUGGGAGGAAGGGUUGUAGAUUAAUACUCUGCAAUUUUGACGUUACCGACAGAAUAAGCACCGGCUAACUCUGUGCCAGCAGCCGCGGUAAUACAGAGGGUGCAAGCGUUAAUCGGAAUUACUGGGCGUAAAGCGCGCGUAGGUGGUUUGUUAAGUUGGAUGUGAAAUCCCCGGGCUCAACCUGGGAACUGCAUUCAAAACUGACUGACUAGAGUAUGGUAGAGGGUGGUGGAAUUUCCUGUGUAGCGGUGAAAUGCGUAGAUAUAGGAAGGAACACCAGUGGCGAAGGCGACCACCUGGACUAAUACUGACACUGAGGUGCGAAAGCGUGGGGAGCAAACAGGAUUAGAUACCCUGUAGUCCA